UACGUAGGGUGCGAGCGUUGUCCGGAAUUAUUGGGCGUAAAGAGCUUGUAGGCGGUCUGUCGCGUCUGCUGUGAAAAUCCGGGGCUCAACCCCGGACUUGCAGUGGGUACGGGCAGACUAGAGUGUGGUAGGGGAGACUGGAAUUCCCGGUGUAGCGGUGAAAUGCGCAGAUAUCGGGAGGAACACCUAUGGCGAAGGCAGCUCGCUGGGACGUUACUGACGCUGAGACGCGAAAGCGUGGGGAGCAAACAGG
This 253-nucleotide ribosomal RNA is filed under the name uncultured bacterium. RNAcentral's name for it is "partial 16S ribosomal RNA". It matches the Rfam family "Bacterial small subunit ribosomal RNA", at positions 524 to 776 of the family's 1533-position model. The record is from RNAcentral.